This 253-nucleotide ribosomal RNA is filed under the name uncultured bacterium. RNAcentral describes it as "partial 16S ribosomal RNA". It matches the Rfam family "Bacterial small subunit ribosomal RNA", at positions 524 to 776 of the family's 1533-position model. The record is from RNAcentral.
UACGUAGGGGGCAAGCGUUGUUCGGAAUUACUGGGCGUAAAGGGCGCGUAGGCGGCACAGCAAGUCGGGAGUGAAAGCCCGGGGCUCAACCCCGGAAUGGCUUUCGAAACUGCUGAGCUAGAGUACAGAAGGGGCAACCGGAAUUCCCAGUGUAGCGGUGAAAUGCGUAGAUAUUGGGAAGAACACCCGAGGCGAAGGCGGGUUGCUGGGCUGAUACUGACGCUGAGGCGCGAAAGCUAGGGGAGCAAACGGG